RNAcentral lists this ribosomal RNA (630 nucleotides) under Janthinobacterium sp. CB7. Its description in RNAcentral is "bacterial SSU rRNA". It matches the Rfam family "Bacterial small subunit ribosomal RNA", at positions 81 to 706 of the family's 1533-position model. Lineage: Bacteria; Pseudomonadati; Pseudomonadota; Betaproteobacteria; Burkholderiales; Oxalobacteraceae. The record is from RNAcentral.
UGCUCUGGUGGCGAGUGGCGAACGGGUGAGUAAUAUAUCGGAACGUACCCUAGAGUGGGGGAUAACGUAGCGAAAGUUACGCUAAUACCGCAUACGAUCUAAGGAUGAAAGUGGGGGAUCGCAAGACCUCAUGCUCGUGGAGCGGCCGAUAUCUGAUUAGCUAGUUGGUAGGGUAAAAGCCUACCAAGGCAUCGAUCAGUAGCUGGUCUGAGAGGACGACCAGCCACACUGGAACUGAGACACGGUCCAGACUCCUACGGGAGGCAGCAGUGGGGAAUUUUGGACAAUGGGCGAAAGCCUGAUCCAGCAAUGCCGCGUGAGUGAAGAAGGCCUUCGGGUUGUAAAGCUCUUUUGUCAGGGAAGAAACGGUGAGAGCUAAUAUCUCUUGCUAAUGACGGUACCUGAAGAAUAAGCACCGGCUAACUACGUGCCAGCAGCCGCGGUAAUACGUAGGGUGCAAGCGUUAAUCGGAAUUACUGGGCGUAAAGCGUGCGCAGGCGGUUUUGUAAGUCUGAUGUGAAAUCCCCGGGCUCAACCUGGGAAUUGCAUUGGAGACUGCAAGGCUAGAAUCUGGCAGAGGGGGGGUAGAAUUCCACGUGUAGCAGUGAAAUGCGUAGAUAUGUGGAGGAA